GAUGAACGCUGGCGGCGUGCCUAAUACAUGCAAGUCGAGCGAACGGACGAGAAGCUUGCUUCUCUGAUGUUAGCGGCGGACGGGUGAGUAACACGUGGAUAACCUACCUAUAAGACUGGGAUAACUUCGGGAAACCGGAGCUAAUACCGGAUAAUAUUUUGAACCGCAUGGUUCAAUAGUGAAAGACGGUCUUGCUGUCACUUAUAGAUGGAUCCGCGCUGCAUUAGCUAGUUGGUAAGGUAACGGCUUACCAAGGCAACGAUGCAUAGCCGACCUGAGAGGGUGAUUGGCCACACUGGAACUGAGACACGGUCCAGACUCCUACGGGAGGCAGCAGUAGGGAAUCUUCCGCAAUGGGCGAAAGCCUGACGGAGCAACGCCGCGUGAGUGAUGAAGGUCUUCGGAUCGUAAAACUCUGUUAUUAGGGAAGAACAUAUGUGUAAGUAACUAUGCACGUCUUGACGGUACCUAAUCAGAAAGCCACGGCUAACUACGUG
This 497-nucleotide ribosomal RNA is filed under the name uncultured bacterium. RNAcentral describes it as "partial 16S ribosomal RNA". It matches the Rfam family "Bacterial small subunit ribosomal RNA", at positions 28 to 507 of the family's 1533-position model. The record is from RNAcentral.